CCUACGGAUGGCUGCAGUGGGGAAUAUUGGACAAUGGGGGCAACCCUGAUCCAGCCAUGCCGCGUGUGUGAAGAAGGCCCUCGGGUUGUAAAGCACUUUCAGUGAGGAAGAACGCCUGGUGGUUAAUACCCAUCAGGAAAGACAUCACUCACAGAAGAAGCACCGGCUAACUCCGUGCCAGCAGCCGCGGUAAUACGGAGGGUGCGAGCGUUAAUCGGAAUUACUGGGCGUAAAGCGCGCGUAGGUGGCUUGAUAAGCCGGUUGUGAAAGCCCCGGGCUCAACCUGGGAACGGCAUCCGGAACUGUCAAGCUAGAGUGCAGGAGAGGAAGGUAGAAUUCCCGGUGUAGCGGUGAAAUGCGUAGAGAUCGGGAGGAAUACCAGUGGCGAAGGCGGCCUUCUGGACUGACACUGACACUGAGGUGCGAAAGCGUGGGUAGCAAACAGGAUUAGAUACCCCAGUAGUC
RNAcentral lists this ribosomal RNA (465 nucleotides) under Vreelandella stevensii. Its description in RNAcentral is "partial 16S ribosomal RNA". It matches the Rfam family "Bacterial small subunit ribosomal RNA", at positions 338 to 795 of the family's 1533-position model. Lineage: Bacteria; Pseudomonadati; Pseudomonadota; Gammaproteobacteria; Oceanospirillales; Halomonadaceae. The record is from RNAcentral.